RNAcentral lists this long non-coding RNA (1366 nucleotides) under Equus asinus (donkey). Its description in RNAcentral is "lncRNA (ENSEASG00005025236.1)". Lineage: Eukaryota; Metazoa; Chordata; Mammalia; Perissodactyla; Equidae. The record is from RNAcentral.
CCGGAAGAAGCCUGCAAAUCUGGGGGCGGAUCUCAGCAAGCCGGCCAACAAAUCGGGGCAGGCGGCCUCGUGGGCGGCCGACUUGCGGAGACUCGGAGCGUUGGACGGCGCGCCUCUUCUGCGAUGGGUACCACCUUCUGUUGGCUGGGACGCCGAUCUCACAUUCUGUGCUGGAGACAAAAAGACGUGGCGAAGGCUUGGAGGUUAAUCUCCUGGAGCAGAGAAUGGAGGCAGCCAAGGAAGAUGCUGUUGAACCAGUUAGGAGGCUGUUGCAGCUAUCCCAGCAAGAUUUGAUGAUAAUGUGGACUUGAGAGGUGGCAGAGCAGUUGCCCAAAGCUGGAUGACUUUCAGAGCGCUGUUCUUGGAUUGAAGUGAGCGAAAGUAGUGCAGGACAAGCAUGACAUGGAAGGGAGAGAGAGUCUCAGCUGGGAGAGAAACAGCAGCAACUCCAAAUCGAUUGACAUGAGCGUCUUCACAGUCUGCUUGAGUGUCCUUAUUUCAGAGUGGCUGGCUUCCCCCAGAUUACUCUGUCCCUGAGGCUGUGUUUGAGAGUUACUAAACAUAACUCCUAGAGAAGUUUGGAGAUGGGAAGGGGAAGACUAUUCCAUAUGGCAACACUUCAUGGAGAGAAGGUACAUAAUCUUUCCAAGGCAGGUAAUCAAGAUAAAUUCCCUGAGUCUGUCUAUACCCUGAUGGUUUCAUGACAAGGGCCAGGUAGGUAAAGGGAAAUAUUCUCAUGGGGAAGUGGGAAAUGAUGCCUUGGCCUUGUUUUAGCUGGUUGUUGUCCCAUCAUUCUCUAAUUAUGCAUCACUGUGUAAUAAACAUCUAUUGGUUUGACUUUCCAAUAUCUCUUUUCCUCUAUUCUGGCUGCUUAUUUGGAGGGAACCACAUCUUGUAUCUUUCAAUGCAACUUCAGAGGGAGUUGACCCUGGCCUCAAGCUCUAGGAUUGAGCAUGUGACAUAAUCCUGGUAAGGAGAGCCUGAAUUCCCCUGGCUAGGUGGAUCAAUGGAAGAGGAUGAUCCAACAGGACCGAUCAUGGCUGAUCCCAAAGCUUUUUCUGAAGUGUUUGGAAGCCCCACCUGAGAAUGAAGCCAAUACAGAAGAUAAAAGAUUCCUGAAAAUACUGUUUGAACACUUGGAUCUAGCCAUGUCUGAAGCUAAUUUAUCCCUGAACUUUUCAGUCCCAUAAGCAAAUAAAUUCCCUUUGUAAACUUUUGUCAUUGUGAGUUAAAGUUAGGUUAGAGUUAGAGGUAGGUUUGAGUUAGAGUUAGGUUUCUAUUAGAGUAACCGAGAGUCCUGAAUAAUACAGCAAAUAUGUCAGUGAGACUAACAUGGGUUCCAACUUUGCCUCUGCCACUUACUAGC